CUGCGUACCUUUUGUAUAAUGGGUCAGCGACUUAUAUUCUGUAGCAAGGUUAACCGAAUAGGGGAGCCGGAGGGAAACCGAGUCUUAAUUGGGCGUUAAGUUGCAGGGUAUAGACCCGAAACCCGGUGAUCUAGCCAUGGGCAGGUUGAAGGUUGGGUAACACUAACUGGAGGACCGAACCGACUAAUGUUGAAAAAUUAGCGGAUGACCUGUGGCUGGGGGUGAAAGGCCAAUCAAACCGGGAGAUAGCUGGUUCUCCCCGAAAGCUAUUUAGGUAGCGCCUCGUGAAUUCAUCUCCGGGGGUAGAGCACUGUUUCGGCUAGGGGGCCAUCCCGGCUUACCAACCCGAUGCAAACUGCGAAUACCGGAGAAUGUUAUCACGGGAGACACACGGCGGGUGCUAACGUCCGUCGUGAAGAGGGAAACAACCCAGACCGCCAGCUAAGGUCCCAAAGUCAUGGUUAAGUGGGAAACGAUGUGGGAAGGCCCAGACAGCCAGGAUGUUGGCUUAGAAGCAGCCAUCAUUUAAAGAAAGCGUAAUAGCUCACUGGUCGAGUCGGCCUGCGCGGAAGAUGUAACGGGGCUAAACCAUGCACCGAAGCUGCGGCAGCGAACGUAUCACCCAAGACAACUUUACGGAGUUGACGAUUGACGGAGCGAAGCGACGUCAAAGCGUUCAUUAAAGUCGAGUUGGCUUAGGGAUACGUUCGUUGGGUAGGGGAGCGUUCUGUAAGCCUGUGAAGGUGUGUCGUGAGGCAUGCUGGAGGUAUCAGAAGUGCGAAUGCUGACAUAAGUAACGAUAAAGCGGGUGAAAAGCCCGCUCGCCGGAAGACCAAGGGUUCCUGUCCAACGUUAAUCGGGGCAGGGUGAGUCGACCCCUAAGGCGAGGCCGAAAGGCGUAGUCGAUGGGAAACGGGUUAAUAUUCCCGUACUUGGUGUUACUGCGAAGGGGGGACGGAGAAGGCUAUGUUGGCCGGGCGACGGUUGUCCCGGUUUAAGCGUGUAGGUGUGUGUUCCAGGUAAAUCCGGUUCACUUUAACACUGAGGCGUGACGACGAGGCACUACGGUG
This 1070-nucleotide ribosomal RNA is filed under the name Salmonella enterica subsp. enterica serovar Typhimurium. RNAcentral describes it as "partial 23S ribosomal RNA". It matches the Rfam family "Bacterial large subunit ribosomal RNA", at positions 597 to 1584 of the family's 2925-position model. Lineage: Bacteria; Pseudomonadati; Pseudomonadota; Gammaproteobacteria; Enterobacterales; Enterobacteriaceae. The record is from RNAcentral.